GGUUGUUCGAGACUAGAACGUUGAUAGGCAGGGUGUGUAAGCGCUGUGAGGCGUUGAGCUAACCUGUACUAAUUGCCCGUGAGGCUUAACCAUACAACACCCAAGGGGUUUUGUA
This 115-nucleotide ribosomal RNA is filed under the name Vibrio sinensis. RNAcentral describes it as "Vibrio sp. BEI233 partial 23S ribosomal RNA". The stretch from base 1 to 93 matches the Rfam family "Bacterial large subunit ribosomal RNA", at positions 2833 to 2925 of the family's 2925-position model. Lineage: Bacteria; Pseudomonadati; Pseudomonadota; Gammaproteobacteria; Vibrionales; Vibrionaceae. The record is from RNAcentral.